AAAAAAUCUGGAGAACACCUCCCAAAAAAAAAUCAGGAAGGGCCCCAAAAAUAUCGGGGGGACCCCAAAAAAUUCCCCAAAUUUUCCACCGAGGCCUUGGCACCCCAAAAUUUACCCUGAGGGGCAAAAUUUGGGAGGGAGCCCCCUAAAAAAUCAGAAUUUUCCCCGAAAAUCCCCAAAUUUGGGUUGUUUUGGGGUUUUCUUUGUGCUGGAUUUGAAUGGGGGACCCCAAAAUUUGACACCUCAAAUUUGUCACCCAGGUGUUAUUUCCCAGCGUUUUGGGGUGAUUUCUCAUCAUUUUGGGGUCAUUCCUGACCACUUUGGCCUCCUUGCCACCACCCCGGUGGUCACUCCCUCAGUGUCCAGCAGCGUCCAGGUGUCCGGCGGUCACUCCCCACAAUUUUGGGGUCACUUCGAGUCACUUCAGGGGUCACUUCAUGUCCCUUUGGUGGUCACUUCGUGGUCACUUCGCCCUCCUUGUCCCCCCUCAAUGUCCAGCGGUCACUCCCCACCACUCUGGGGUCACUCUCCACCAUUUUGGGGUCACUUCGAGCCACUUCAGGGGUCACUCUGUGCCACUCUGGUGGUCACUUUGUGGUCACUUCGCCCCCAGGCCAGUGGUCACCGCCUCAAUGUCCAGCGGUCACUCCCCACGAUUUUGGGGACACUUUGUGCCACUUUGGGGUCACUUUGUGCCACUUUGGGGGUCACUCUGAUGGUCACUUUGUAGUCACUUUGGCCUCCUUGCCAUCACCCCAGUGGU
This 763-nucleotide long non-coding RNA is filed under the name Junco hyemalis (dark-eyed junco). RNAcentral describes it as "lncRNA (ENSJHYG00000010808.1)". The record is from RNAcentral. Lineage: Eukaryota; Metazoa; Chordata; Aves; Passeriformes; Passerellidae.